This 117-nucleotide ribosomal RNA is filed under the name uncultured bacterium. RNAcentral's name for it is "partial 16S ribosomal RNA". It matches the Rfam family "Bacterial small subunit ribosomal RNA", at positions 1357 to 1482 of the family's 1533-position model. The record is from RNAcentral.
CUACGGUGAAUACGUUCCCGGACCUUGUACACACCGCCCGUCAAGCCAUGGAAGCUGGGUGUACCUAAAGUCGGUAACCGCAAGGAGCCGCCUAGGGUAAAACUAGUAACUGGGGCU